RNAcentral lists this ribosomal RNA (424 nucleotides) under uncultured bacterium. RNAcentral's name for it is "bacterial SSU rRNA". It matches the Rfam family "Bacterial small subunit ribosomal RNA", at positions 917 to 1344 of the family's 1533-position model. The record is from RNAcentral.
GGGCCCGCACAAGCGGUGGAGCAUGUGGUUUAAUUCGAUGCAACGCGAAGAACCUUACCAGGGCUUGACAUACUACAAAUCCUUUUGAAAAAGAGGAGUGCCUUCGGGAAUGUAGAUACAGGUGGUGCAUGGCUGUCGUCAGCUCGUGUCGUGAGAUGUUGGGUUAAGUCCCGCAACGAGCGCAACCCUUAUUUUUUAGUUACCAAUUCGUUGGGUUCUCUAGAAAGACUGCCGGUGACAAACCGGAGGAAGGUGAGGAUGACGUCAAGUCAUCAUGGCCCUUACGGCCUGGGCUACACACGUGCUACAAUGGCUAGGACAGACGGCCGCAAACCCGCGAGGGGGAGCCAAUCCGACAAACCUAGUCGUAGUCCGGAUCGGAGUCUGCAACUCGACUCCGUGAAGUCGGAAUUGCUAGUAAUCG